RNAcentral lists this ribosomal RNA (650 nucleotides) under uncultured bacterium. RNAcentral describes it as "bacterial SSU rRNA". It matches the Rfam family "Bacterial small subunit ribosomal RNA", at positions 28 to 653 of the family's 1533-position model. The record is from RNAcentral.
AUUGAACGCUGGCGGCAUGCCUAACACAUGCAAGUCGAACGGCAGCACGUUGUGUAGCAAUACACAUGGGUGGCGAGUAGCGGACGGGUGAGUAUAAAGUAGGAAUCUGCCUUAUAGAUUGGGACAACUUGGGGAAACUCGAGCUAAUACCGGAUAAGCACUACGGUGGAAAGUAUGGGACCGAAAGGCCAUACGCUAUAAGAUGAGCCUACGUCGGAUUAGUUAGUUGGUUAGGUAAAAGGCUGACCAAGACAAAGAUCCGUAGCUGGUCUGAGAGGAUGAUCAGCCACACUGGGACUGAGACACGGCCCAGACUCCUACGGGAGGCAGCAGUGGGGAAUAUUGGACAAUGGGGGAAAACCCCUGAUCCAGCGAUGCCGCGUGUGCGAAGAAGGCCUGCGGGUUGUAAAAGCACUUUAGUUGGGGAAGAAAGUUCAAGAGUCGAAUAGGUUUUUGAGUUGACGUUACCCAAAGAAUAAGCACCGGCUAACUCUGUGCCAGCAGCCGCGGUAAUACAGAGGGUGCAAGCGUUAAUCGGAAAUUACUGGGCGUAAAGGGCGCGUAGGCGGUUAUAUAAAGUUAGGUGUGAAAAUCCCCCGGGCUUAACCUGGGAACUGGCAAUUUAAUAUCUGUAUGACUAGAGUAGAGUA